CUAGCCUCAGACUCCCAGCCCACAAGCUCUGCUCCUCUCCCAUCACUGCCUCCACUCCACGCACGGCCAAAUUCCUUCUCCCACCUCUCCUCGAUCGACCCAUCUCCCCCACCAGCAGGCCACCACUACACCACAGGAGGAGGAGCUGAUCAGCUCGUCAGCCAUAGCCUGCACGAGCUGCUGCUAGCUGCCGUGCCCCGCGCGCGCGCGCAUGCAGUGCAUGGCGCAGGAGGGCUCCGAGGCCUCCGUCGCCAGCUCGCCGCCGCCGCCCCCGCCGUCGGCCUCCUCGUCGUCCACGUCCUCCGCGGCCGCGGCCUCCUGGUGGCGCGACAAUAUGCACCCGGCGGCCUACGGCGCCUGGCCGCCCCCGCCCGCGGCCGCGCGCUGGCCCCUGAUGGCGGCGCACCACGGCCGGACGACGUCCUCCGGCGGCGCCGACGACGACCUCUCGGCCUCCAACGCCGCCAUGACGUCCUUCACCAACACCUCCACUACCAACCACUCCGGCCUCAGCAUGGACUCCUCCGUCCCCGGCGCCGCCGCCGCCGCCGAGAGCCACCUCUGGAACCAAGUCCUCAUGGGCGCCGGCGGCGAGGUCGGGAGGAGCAUGCAGGCCGUGCACGACGCCCAUGACGACAGCGAGAACUUCCUCGAGCUGCUCAACUCGAGGACGCUCGCGCCGGAGCUCUUCGCCGAGCCGCCGGCCUGCGACUACCUCAAGAAGAUGGAGUACGGCAGCAGCCACGGCGGCGGCGGAUGGCCGGAGCACCAGUUCACGGCGGCCGCGCUGGAGAAGCACCUGAGCUCCGGCUACGGCGCCGCGCUCGCGCACCACCACCACCACCACGCGGCGGCCGGCGCGCCGGAGCGGCUCACGGCGAACCUGUCCGACCUCGUGAGCAACUGGUCCAUCGCGCCGCCCAACCCGUGCCUCGGCGACGCGCACCACCGCGCCGGCGCCGGCGCGGCAUGCGAUAACGCCGCGGUGGCCGGCUUGGGCCACGGCGCCAAGGCCGGCUUGUUCCUGGACUCGGGCGGCCUCUGCAAGCACGAGAUGGGCGGCCACGGCGCGAUGCUGCAGGAAGCAGGCAGUGGCAGCGGCGCCGGCGGCCAGGAGUUCCUCCGGCCCGCGGGGUACAGCUCCAUGCUCGGGCUCAGCAGCAGCAGGACGAUGUACGGCGGUUCCGGCCCCGCCAUGGACGUGCCGUGGGGCAACAAUGCCGGCGCGGCGAGGAGCCUGUCGGACCUGAUAUCUUUCGGCGGAGCGCCGCUGGGAAAGCCGGAGCAGCCGGCGGCCACGGCACCCAAGGCGCAGGCGGCGGAGUACAAGAAGCAAGGGCAGGAGAUCUCGAUCUCGUCGCGGGCGAAGACGAGUAGCGGCGGCGGCAGCAAGGGGAGCUCGGAGGGGAAGAAGAAGAGAUCGGAGGAGCAGCAGGGGUCGGAUGGGAACACCAAGAAGUCCAAGAAUAAUGAGGCCUCCUCACCCACGUCGUCUGUCAAGUUUAACAGGCAUCGCAGGUGCCGAAAGUGAAGUUAGGAGACAAGAUCACUGCACUGCAACAGAUCGUUUCACCAUUUGGAAAGACCGAUACGGCAUCAGUUCUGUAUGAGGCGAUAAAUUACAUCAAGUGGCUGCAUGAACAAGUGCAGUUGCUGAGUGAUCCAUACAUGAAGACAAGUAGUAGCAAGGAUUACAAUGCAUGGGGAGGGCUGGAUAGGAAGGAGAAGUCAGAAGCAGAGAUGGACCUGCGAAGUAGAGGCCUGUGCUUGGUACCUGUCUCAUGCACGCCCCAAGUGUACAGGGAUAACAAUGGCCCUGACUACUGGACGCCGCCGUAUAGAAGCUGCUUAUACCGAUAAAUUUUGACUAGUAACUAUUGUUAUUCGAUUGGUUACGUUAAUAAUUUGUGGUGAAUAUAUAUGUUAAAGAAGACAAAUCAAGAUUAGCUGCAUGAGUUAAUUUAAAUUAUUAAAACCCUGAUGUACUUGGUUCUUAAUUAGAGGCUUCGUGACAUUAAUCUCAUCAGCAUUGGUAUUGAUGUAUUAAUUCUUUUGUACUCCAGGUGAGAAAGAGAUGUGUUAUCACAUUGGUAUGAUUCA
Molecule: RNA transcript, 2100 nt
Organism: Panicum virgatum (switchgrass)
Lineage: Eukaryota; Viridiplantae; Streptophyta; Magnoliopsida; Poales; Poaceae
Exons: 7
Source: RefSeq, a predicted model, not a curated record